CAUAAUAAAGUCAUUGCAGGUUCUGAAGCCUCACGCAUUUCAACUAUAGUUCACUCGCCACAUCGUGAGAAGACGGUGUUAAACCGUCUCUGCCACCGUACGCUCAUUACUAAGCAACAUAUAGGCGCGCACACGCGUGACAGGUGGAUCUUUUUGACAGAACUGCGCAGUGAAGGUGAUGUGGCGGCACAGAGCAGGUGGAGGAAAACCCGCAGGACACAAGAGAGAAGAACUGGUCAUGAAACCAACAAAGAGACAAAGAGAAAGAAAAGACUGUUGAAUGAAAAGUGGAGGUCCAGUUUAGAAUGGCUGGUUUAUGAUGCAGCCAAGAAAACAAUGUAUUGCAACAAUUGUAGGAUGUUAAGGGAUCUCUCUUGUUGGGACAGAGGAAACAAUAAAAGGAGCAUGAAGUUUCCGGUGGCCGUGUCAAAAGCAUUGCAAGUAAACAGACAAAGACAACAAAGUGUUGCGUUUAGAUCCCUGGUCCUCAUGAAGUUGUUACAACUUUGCCAAUUUGUUAAAUUGCCUUGCAAAUAAAUGCUUUGCUAUUUGUUAAAAUCCAAAUCCUUUCAUGUAAUGAUUUUUCACAUGUCAUUUAUAUCAGCUCACACAAACACUUCAACCAUUUGUUCUUGGCCCGGCUCCUCCGUCACAUUUUACAACCCAUUGUGGCCCCCGAGUCAAAAAGUUUGCCGACCUGCUAUAGAGCUGUCCUAGGAGGGACAUCUAAUGGACAACCAAGUACUGCAAGCUAGACUAUUAUGCAGUUGUAGACACAAAACAGGGGGUCCCUGGGCCUGGGUAGGAUAGAAAAGGAGUUUAAUAUGGCUAUUAAAUGUGACUAAAACUAGACUAAAACUAAUUACAUUUUAGUCUAGUUUUCGUCGAAGAAAGAAGUAUUAAAAUGACUAAAUGUGACUAAAACUAAUAUGCAUUUUUCGUCUAAAGACUAAGACUAAAUCAAAAAUUGCUGCCAAAAUUAACACUGGGUCAAAUUGAUCAAAGGAUUCUAAAAGCUAGUGCAUGUGUCUUUACGCACAGUCGUGUCGACGCACUCUAAAAGGCUCUACGGUUCUAAAAGGCUUGCGUGUGUUGCAGAGCAAUAGGUGGAGUAAAGUUUUUUUGUCAAAUACGACCUAGAAAGUGACGUCUUUGUGUGUGGAAGUCGUUGGUUUGUUUAUUUAUUUAUAUCAUAGACUUUAUUGCCCCGUGCAUCGGCAGUGUUGCUUUUCAUCGCGGACACAUUUGUCCCGUAUUUUCCUCCAACACUUUGUGCACCUCACGACCGGCAAACCGGCGCUUUGAUUCCCUUGAAUAAUCCGUGGCCAUCCGCGUGUCCUUAUAGUCCGCCAAUUACGGCUUCUAUAAGUGGUCAUAUUUACGGAUUUCUUCCGACAAAAGCUCUUCAAUCUGAUUCAUUCUCUCGUAAAAAAUCUUCGUUUUAAUAACUGAGUAUUGUGGGUAUUGUGCUAUGAAAUCGGAAAUGUGAGACUCCGGAAAGGAUGUAGUUAGCAGACCAAUCGCAGCCUUGAGGGCUGCAAGAAGCUUGCCACAAAUUAGAUUUGAAUGGUUUUGAAAUGUCAGAAGGCAUGAUAAUAUAAAUAAGUGUAAUUAUUGACAAAGUAACUUUAAAUAAAAGUUCACUAAUUAUUAUAAUUAUUCCACAGGGAUAUUCCACAUUACGUGUCACUAUUCUAUAGUUAUUGUCAGGAACGGGUAGGUGGAGGCAGAACUCAAACGCAGACUUGGAAACAAAAACAGACUUUAAUAGUCAAACUUAAAAAAAAAAAAGCAAAACCACAGACGGGAACCAGGAACAGGCAAGACAGGAAUGACAUUCGAGGAAUGACAUCCAGGAAUCCAGGGUUGAACAACAUUCAAUAAUGACGCGACAAAAGACACACAAGGCUUAAAUACACAGGAAGGUGCAGGUGAUUGGACACAGGUGGAAACAAUCAGACAAUCCAUAGGACGAGGAAGGAAGUGAAGUGACCCAGAGACACAAGAAAACUACAAAAUAAAACAGGAAACAAACCCAAACCGUGACAGUUAUGACAUUACCAUAUUUUAUUUUUGAAUGAAAGGCAAAAGAGUGAAAUAAAAAAAAUGAAUGCGAAAGUGUGUUCAGGCUCCAAAUAAAGUGGUUCAGAUAAUUUAGCCGAACUGUCUGCACUGAAUGCUGAUGUCUGGCUGCUUUGACUGUGUUUUGUGUGACUGACAGAUGUUCUCCAGAUGUACGGAUGAUGCGACUGCAGUGACGAGAGGUGACUUAGACAGUGUCACGGCACCUAUAAGUCCUUGUCAAAGCAGAAAGAAUAGCACUUACAAACCCCCUAGUUUGUCUCUUCAAGCAAACAUCAGAUCAGAAGAGGUGGGGUGGGACGGAAGAGGGGGGGGUCAGGGGGCUACCCGGGGUCUGACCUGGCCCCCCUGGACUGUCCCGGUACAAGAGAAGGGAUGAAGAGACUUUGGAAAGGGGGGGGCAGGAGAGUUUGAUACAGCUGACAUUGAAUGGGGCGGGGGGGAUAAGAGUGACAGAGGGGGAGGAGAGUGGGAGGGAGGAAGAAGAGCAAAGGGGAGGGUUUAGAGAGAGAAAGAGAGAGGGAAGGCAGGGACAGGCAAGAGAGCGAGU
This is a long non-coding RNA of Gasterosteus aculeatus (three-spined stickleback), 2632 nucleotides long. The record is from Ensembl. Lineage: Eukaryota; Metazoa; Chordata; Actinopteri; Perciformes; Gasterosteidae.